This is a long non-coding RNA of Bufo gargarizans (Asiatic toad), 245 nucleotides long. RefSeq lists it as uncharacterized. The transcript is spliced from 3 exons. The record is from RefSeq and is a predicted model, not a curated record. Lineage: Eukaryota; Metazoa; Chordata; Amphibia; Anura; Bufonidae.
CGUCAUCGCAGGUCCUGCAGCCCCAGGAGGUGAGAUCUGCAGGUUCCUUACGUUCAGGACUCUCUUAUUUUAAAAGACAAUAGUCCUUUCCAUAAAUGACCCACCAAGGAUGGAGAAGGACAGAGACCACAUGGCUGGAAGGAUAUUAGACCUCACCCUGGAGAUCAUCUACUUGAUAACUGGAGAGGAUUACACAGUAGUGAAGAAGUCGUCUGGUGAGUGUGUGACACCCCGUGUGUCAGGAG